ACCUUAAUCUAAUCCAUC
RNAcentral lists this small nuclear RNA (18 nucleotides) under Arabidopsis thaliana (thale cress). Its description in RNAcentral is "snRNA_07538". The record is from RNAcentral. Lineage: Eukaryota; Viridiplantae; Streptophyta; Magnoliopsida; Brassicales; Brassicaceae.